GCGAGAGUAGUUCAAUGGUAAAAUAUCUCCUUCCCAAGGAGAAGAUACGGGUUCGAUUCCCGCCGCUCGCC
Non-coding RNA from Triticum aestivum (bread wheat), 71 nucleotides. The record is from Rfam. NCBI's taxonomy places the organism in Eukaryota, Viridiplantae, Streptophyta, Magnoliopsida, Poales, Poaceae.